This is a long non-coding RNA of Leopardus geoffroyi (Geoffroy's cat), 6123 nucleotides long. RefSeq lists it as uncharacterized. Lineage: Eukaryota; Metazoa; Chordata; Mammalia; Carnivora; Felidae. The transcript has 7 exons. The record is from RefSeq and is a predicted model, not a curated record.
UUGACCAGCCUUGGCAUUGCCCUCCGGCUCUCCAGGGGAAGAGCUGCAGUUCUGCUCUUGCAACACAAGGAGCAGACUGGAGAAUUUAGAUCUGCGUCACAGAGCUCAGAGAGAGAGAGAGGGGAGAGAGAGAGAGAGAGAGCGCGCGAGAGAGAGAGAGAGCGCUCCGUCGAUAGGUCUGCUAGCAACAGCCGUGCUGCAGCAGAGAGAGAGAGAGAAAUCAAGAAACAAGUCAUAGCAACACCGGGCACCAGGUUCUGCCAGCUCACUUGCCAAGCGUUCAGAAAUCUGUCGGGGGCUAGAGGCCUCUGGGUAGCCCGGGCUAAGGAGAUGACACACAAGACCGAGAUUUGGGUCUGCGCAGGCGACGAUGGGUGGUCCGACGGGCUUCAGGACUUGAUGGCGUAACCCCCUUCUUCCCCCACUGUCAGCUGCUCAAGCCUGACCGGGGUAGAGGCUAGAGGAGCAAGCUGUCCCCAGCGUCCCACCUGACCUACCAGCCUUUGCCCCCGUUUCCUUCUUUUGAACAGACAGACAGACUGGUUUUCCAGGUUGUUUGGGUAUCCGCGUCUGUCUGUCCAUCCACGUCGUCGUUCUUAGGUGGCAGGUAGGAAGUGAGGAGGAGAGGUGCUGGGAGGAAGGUGGAAAGCCAUAGCUUUCCAGGGGUUGCCUUAUUGAAAUGUUCAGCCUCGGGGCAGCUGGGCUGGUGGGGAGCCGGUGGGCAGGAUGGGGCGUGGGUUGGGAGAAGUGGGGUAAAGCUGGUAGGUUUGUCACUGCGUAGUUGGGAAAAGUGGGGAAUGGUGACGCAGUCACUGUUGCAUCUUGUUAGGAGCUCCAAGGGGGACAGGUAGUGAGGCUCCCGGCAUCUGUAGGGCCAGCUGAGAGGGGUUAGGGAUGAGCUGAGAAGGGAAGCUAGCAUUUAGAGAUUAAAUGUCAUCCUUUUGGCGUUGGAAAGUUGUUUACCUUGCGCUCUCUGUGUCUCCAUGUUGGCACCCUUCCAGUUCACAUGUGAUGGCCUUCCUUGUACUGCUGCAUCAUUAACUAAGUGACUGAGCUGGCCUUCCAUUGGCCAGGGGAGGGCUCUCACUCCAGACAUUUCCUCUGAUUGGUGGGUGGGCCAAUGGCAGGUGAAAACCUUUUUUUGAUUGGCUGAGGGCAGGGUAUCAAAUCUGAAUUUGCAUUUCACUUGCUUAAAGGGGAGGGGGGGAGAAGCCCAGCAGCUUUCUAAAAUCUGUUUAGGGGUGUGCGUAUGCUCCUGUGUCUGUGCCUGCUUUUGACUGACCAGGUGAAGCCUCUUCCUAUGCCUUUUUUAUUUCAAGCACUCAGAGGAAGAGGAGCUCCGGGUUCCCCAAACUUUUUUUUUUUUUUUUUUUGGAGUAGGAAGGGUUGGAGAGAUGGGUGCGCAGAGGGUUGACCAAACUGGAAGGAAGUAUUUGUCCUUUAGUUUGGUGUCGGAAAAGGGAAUUUUCCAAUCAGCCACACCUCGGUGUUGCGGCACAAUAAUUCUUGGCUCCCCUGGAAACGCACGGGGCAAGGUAGGACAGAUCUGCUGCUGCUGACACUGCCACCACCAUGGGCUUCCUGCUGCCUCUGGGCUGCUCCCUGGGGACGAGAGAUUUGCAUUGACGGGGCUGUCCAGAGCUGAGCCCAGUGUGGGAAAGACCUGCCUUCUGGAAGCUGCUGCUCCUUGGUCUUGGAAAGGUGCCACGUCAGGCUGUUCCACGGACCUUCUUUCAUUUACUGCUUUCCACAACCCUCCGAGGAGAGUCCCGUGACUGAGAACUCAGAGGAGUUGAGCUCCAUGAGUCGGUGACAGCCUCUUGGAGACUCAGGCUAAGCUGGGGACAGAGCUGGUGUGCAGAAGACAGCCAUCAUACCACCUAAUAGAAUGGCCCGCUUGCAUUUAUUUGGAACAAAAAAAGGAGAUGCCUGGCAGCCUGGCUUUCUGCAGCUAAGUAUUCGUCUGCAUUCUGGUUUUCCGUCACACAUCGGAAGCGAUAGAUGUUCAUUGAACCCACCCAGCUGUCGUGACUUCUCCUUUCCCCGCGCACCCCUGCCCCUGAUCCUCCAGCAAAGAUUGGAUUUUCUGGUGCGGCUGGAGAGCUGCAGAGAGGCUAGAUCGCAGUGUCCAGCCCCCGCACAUCGCCCUCACAUUCAGGAGAAGUCGAUUUUCCCUAAAGCGGAGCCUAAAGCCCAUGUCCCUCAGUGCGGUGUUAUUAAUGGGCCGACGGGAAGGGCCCUGCUUGCCCUCACUGCCCCCAGCGGGGAGGUGAGGCUCUCGGCUGGCUGGCUGGGGGAGGACGGUCCUUGCCAGCAUCUAGCAUGGUUCUCUGCCAAGUUCUAGCUCCAAAUCUCUAGGCCGCUAGGAACCUAGACUAUAUAUAGCAUUGUGCUAAGCAAUUCUUAUCGGACAUGUCUGCCCUCCCCUGCGGGAGAGGAGCCCUUCUCCCAGGGAACCGGAACCUAGAGAGUGUGAGCCUUCUCCAAGGGGUCUUUCGUUCCAGGAAGGGCUGUGUGUGUGUGUGUUGUGUGUGUGCGUGUGCGUGUGUGUGUGCGCGCGUGGUUGUGUCUGCUUCAGGGCUGCCAAGCUUUCUUUCCUUUUCCCUGUUUCAGAUGCUGGGAGAUCGGAAGGUCUGAUUGGGAUGAGGGCCAGGAGGUUCUUGGUGUGCGAUGUGGCCCAUGGCGCCCACCAGCCUCCCGCAUGUCUUCUUGGUUUCCUGUUUGCCUUCUUUGCCCAAGGAGGUCUUCUGACCUCUUGAGCUUCUUUUGGAUCUCCUGUCUUCCCUGCCCUCCUCUACCUCUUCCUCCUCCUUCCUUUGAUUCUCUUUCGGGUAUGUGACGGCAGACUGGGCUACGGGCAUCCGGGAGCUGUGUCUGCUCGCCGCCCUCACCACCGCCCCCUCCCCCCUCCCCCCCACCAGUUUGGGGUUUCUGGAAAUCUGGCUUUAGUCAGCCGUCCUCUGGAGGAAUUGGGUGGUGACUGAGCGUUUCGUGCUGGGUGGUACGGGGCAGAGCAGGCUGGAUAUUUGCCUCCUCCCUCCCGUAGGUGCUGUCGAGCCACCGAUUUUCUGUGGUUCCGCGACCCCGAGUGCUGACUGAUGUGACAGGUUCCGGUCUUGUCAGUGAAUCAUCGCCAAGCUGCUUAUUGGAACCCAGAUGCAGCAAGAAAAUGGGAUUUAACCCCUUCCCGGCCUCUCAGGAGCCUGGAAACCAGCAUCCCGGGUAGCAGGAAGACCUGAUCUGGGCUCUGCUUCCGGCACCCCUCCCCCGCGCCGGCUGGAGCUUGCGUCAGUCAUGUAAGUAGCCGUGACUCAGCACCCAGCCUGGUCGGGAGGGAGGCAGAAGACGCCUCCCAGGAACCUUCCCAGCAUUCUGGAUUUGAACACAUGGUGGUAGCUGAACACACUGAACGAGCUGGCGGCCUUCGGUUCCUGGGGGUGCGUGUCUGUCCGUUCCGCGGAUUUGCUUAUAGGUCUCAUAAACCGGGGUUCCUCUCCUUCCCGUUCUCAUCCCGUGUUAUUUUUUGGACACCAUGCCUGGCAUAGGAUUUUUAGGACUUUAAAAGGCACAGACGGCAUCAUUUCUAGAACGCAGCAGAAGCUCUCUUUGCAGUCUCCAGACUGCCCUUUAAACCGAUGGCCCAUGAAUCAUCUUUAACCCUCAGAUGUUUUUGUUUGACUUACAGAGUUUUCGUUGUUUUUGUUUGUUUGUUUGUUUGUUUGUUUGUUUAACGUGUCCGAUUCAGACAUGCUUUUAGACAAAACACAGCCUCUCCAGGUCACUGGACUUCUGCUGCACGAGGUCUCUGCCUCUCUGUCCUGUUUCCCACCCCAGCCCUCAAGCAUUUGAAUGCACGGAGACUGGUCUGCAUGAGCCCUCCCUCGUUUUGGAAAAACUGGGGCCCAUUCCAGGGAGGUGCGGGUCCCCCGUUCUCAAGUCUGGGCCGCGCAGGAAUUAAAGCCCCUGUGUUCUGAUUCACUGUGUGGUGACCUUUCCUCCACCCUCGGUCGCUGCCCGGGCAGAGGAGUGUCUAGGCAUGAGGGGGUGGAAAUCCCUCCAAAUAGAACGUCUGCACAGAAAUGGACGGAGGCUGCACCGUGCUUCCCAGACCUUCUCCCUGCGUGGUGGCGUACCCAGCUCUCUGGCUGGGCGUUUGCCUUCCCCGACAGCGCACCAGACUCUUCCCGCUGGCCCAUGUGCGUGGGACUGUUGGGCCAGGCUGGGACGAUCACACCGUCCGCCUUUGACAGCAGAGCCCUAGCAGGCUGGGGCCUCCAGCCCCCGUUAGACCACCUGGCCCCAUCUAACAAGGGAACAGAAACACCAGCUAGCUUCAGGGCCGAUGCUCCCUGGGUAGCGGGAGAGACUGUAAUGAAUCCCCCUGAUGACCACGUGACGUACGUGCGUCCUGAAGGACAAGAACUAGGUGCUGUGAGAGGGCGUAACCCAACACCUGGCUCACCUGGGGAAAGCUUCAGGCGACCUGCGUCACCUGGGAGAGGGUUGAUGGGGUGGUAGCCCUGGGAGAGUGGACGACAGAGAAUGUUCCAGAAAGAGGGAAUGGUGUACGCAGAGGCCUGCUAGGGGAGGAAGGAGGCUGUCUGGAUCACUGAAAGACACCUGUGUGACAAUACCUUGGGAAAGGUUUUGUGGAUACUGGCAGUCGGGGGUUACUAAGGAGGAAGAGUUCGGCUGGAGUAAGAAGCAAAAAAGCUGAGAAGUAGCAAAGGUAGAUCUCCAACCCCCUCGUUUUAUAGGACCCCACAGAAAUGACUCUCAUUUACCACUUACUUCCUGACCUUAAAACCCUGGAAGUUAACCUGUGUCGUGGGGCCCAGCUGUUGACUGCAGGUGCCCUGUGUCAGAGCUGCUGCCCAGCUCCUCCCUCAGUGGCUGGGGCCUCGCAGAGCCCCUGGGCUCGGAGCCCAGUGCUGGGGUCAGAAUCCAGAGUCCAGCACAGCCAUUGCUGGUGGUUCAUCUCCAACGCCUCCCCCAACCGCAGCUAUGCCCUAGGAGAGCACAGAGGCUCCAGAGGGGCAGGAGGAGUGGGCGAGCCAGCUGGGGGCACCGGGCCCCUCACGGGACCAGCUGGGCUCCCAUCUCCACCGGGUUAAACCUGUUGUGCAGUCAGUCACAUCCACGGCCACGCAGAACCCUUGCCUAGGACUCCCCCCACCCCACCCUUGCUCACAAUUGAGUUCAAGAACAGAAUGAGAUGAUAGACCAGCCGUGGAGCAGGUGCAAUGGACAGAGGGGCAGGAACACACACUCUGGAGUUAGACUUGGGGUCUCUGUACCACGUAGUAGUCACGUGACCGUGGCGAGUCACCGAACUACAUGAAGGAGCAGUUUCUCCUGCAGGCGCAAGAAUACUACUUGCCUCACAAGACCGACCCAAUUACAAAGCACACCUCAGUGUUCACAUUUUAUUUCCUUCUCCUGCCUGCAGCGGCACAUGCUGUUAUUUCCGGGAGCCACAAUAAAUACAGGCCUGGAUCUGGAAGCCUUCAGAGCUGGUAGACAGCCUGAAAGAUCCAGAUUCUACUCUGUCUCCUCUUUCCUUAGUUGUGGCAUCCCAGGAGAUACAGACCUGUUUUCUCUGCUUCCGAUGACCAACACAAAAGCAAACAAACAAACAAACAAAAAACCCGACACAUUUAGGAGAUGGGAAAUCUGAUUUGAACACAGGAUGCAAAUCUUAUUUUCAGACACAUUUUGAAAACAACACAAAACUCGGUCCUUGUGUUAGAGGAUUAUCUACUUAACACCGCUUCAGGACACGACAUUUGUGUGUGUGUGUCACAGCAGAGGUGAAACAAAGAUUGCUAAUGUUCUGACCCUUACUUGAGGCUGGGAAGGUGGACCCCAGGCUCUUCCUGAAUAGGGCGCGUCAGGAGUUGCCCCCAAGCAGGUGAAACUCACCUGGCUCGAACCUCCUAGGCAGAUAGGACGCUUGUUUCCUGAUGACGUGACAUAGUAUCAGAAGACACUGCGUGCUGUGAAAUGUUUUCGAGAGCAGGGGGCGAUGCUAAUGAAAACGUUCACACAUUUUCAUAAUAGCUCUGGGAUACUUCCCUUCAUCACAUGUGUAAUAAACUGUUAGGACUGGUCGUCCAGGGUCAA